RNAcentral lists this long non-coding RNA (733 nucleotides) under Nicotiana tabacum (common tobacco). Its description in RNAcentral is "long non-coding RNA (NTAB_LNC003674)". Lineage: Eukaryota; Viridiplantae; Streptophyta; Magnoliopsida; Solanales; Solanaceae. The record is from RNAcentral.
GAACUGUGGUAACCCCGCCCCUAGUGGCGGGCAUCACCACAACCCUACUCCAUCGCCUCCUUCAGGAGGCCAUGGAGGUGGUGGUUACUAUCCCUCCCCUCCAUCUCAUGGUGGAAGCCCUCCAAGUACUCCUAGUACCCCCAGUACACCAUCCACCCCCUCCACACCUACUAUUGUAACCCCACCUACACCUCCUACAAUAGACCCUGGCACUCCAAGUACUCCAGGGGGUGGUUACUAUGGUGGAAGUCCUCCAAGUAUUCCUACCCCUAGUAUUACACCCCCUACCCCUUCUACACCUAUCAUUGAAACACCACCAACUACUCCAGUCGUUGAAACACCACCAACUACUCCUACCAUUGAUCCAGGUACUCCAAGUGCUCCAGGGGUCUUUCCAAUUGACCCCAACUCACCACCUUUUACAUGCGAGUAAGUCAAAUGAAAAUUAUUCUUUGUUUCAUUUUAUAUGGCAGCAUUUGACUAGACAUACAAUUUAAGAAAGAGAAUUUUUUAACGUAUAUCUAAAGUACCUAAUGAGAACUUGUAAUCUUAAACAUAUCAUGACAUUUAUACAAUUAUACCAGCAUAUAUAUCAUUAACGGUGAAGGUGUGAUUCUGUUUAGAAAAGACUAGGAAAAGCGCAUCAUAUGAACGGAACAGAGGCAGUAUAAACUUUUGCACUUUUAACUACAAUAUGAGUGGCAUGUCCUAACAUGAAAUGUUAUGAACUGCA